GCCGGGUGUGGUGGUGCACACCUGUAAUCCCAGCUACUCAGGAGGCUGAGGCAGGGGAAUUGCUUGAACCCAGGAGAUGGAGGUUGCAGUGAGCUGAGAUCGCACCACUACACUCCAGCCUGGGUGACAGAGCGAGACUCUGUCUCAA
RNAcentral lists this signal recognition particle RNA (148 nucleotides) under Pan troglodytes (chimpanzee). Its description in RNAcentral is "Metazoan signal recognition particle RNA". It matches the Rfam family "Metazoan signal recognition particle RNA". Rfam says of the family: The signal recognition particle (SRP) is a universally conserved ribonucleoprotein. It is involved in the co-translational targeting of proteins to membranes. Lineage: Eukaryota; Metazoa; Chordata; Mammalia; Primates; Hominidae. The record is from Rfam by way of RNAcentral.